AAGAGCCGUGUGAUGGGAGACUAUCACGCACGGUUCUGUGAGAGAUUUGGGGUGAAAAUCCCCUUAUCUACUCGAC
Non-coding RNA from Microscilla marina ATCC 23134, 76 nucleotides. NCBI's taxonomy places the organism in Bacteria, Pseudomonadati, Bacteroidota, Cytophagia, Cytophagales, Microscillaceae. The record is from Rfam.